GGGAGCAAACAGGAUUAGAUACCCUGGUAGUCCACGCCGUAAACGAUGAGUGCUAAGUGUUGGAGGGUUUCCGCCCUUCAGUGCUGCAGCUAACGCAUUAAGCACUCCGCCUGGGGAGUACGACCGCAAGGUUGAAACUCAAAGGAAUUGACGGGGGCCCGCACAAGCGGUGGAGCAUGUGGUUUAAUUCGAAGCAACGCGAAGAACCUUACCAGGUCUUGACAUCCUUUGACCACUCUAGAGAUAGAGCUUCCCCUUCGGGGGCAAAGUGACAGGUGGUGCAUGGUUGUCGUCAGCUCGUGUCGUGAGAUGUUGGGUUAAGUCCCGCAACGAGCGCAACCCUUAUUGUUAGUUGCCAUCAUUCAGUUGGGCACUCUAGCAAGACUGCCGGUGACAAACCGGAGGAAGGUGGGGAUGACGUCAAAUCAUCAUGCCCCUUAUGACCUGGGCUACACACGUGCUACAAUGGGAAGUACAACGAGUUGCGAAGUCGCGAGGCUAAGCUAAUCUCUUAAAGCUUCUCUCAGUUCGGAUUGCAGGCUGCAACUCGCCUGCAUGAAGCCGGAAUCGCUAGUAAUCGCGGAUCAGCACGCCGCGGUGAAUACGUUCCCGGGCCUUGUACACACCGCCCGUCACACCACGAGAG
This 646-nucleotide ribosomal RNA is filed under the name Enterococcus faecium. RNAcentral's name for it is "bacterial SSU rRNA". It matches the Rfam family "Bacterial small subunit ribosomal RNA", at positions 764 to 1410 of the family's 1533-position model. Lineage: Bacteria; Bacillati; Bacillota; Bacilli; Lactobacillales; Enterococcaceae. The record is from RNAcentral.